ACGUAGGGUGCAAGCGUUAAUCGGAAUUACUGGGCGUAAAGCGUGCGCAGGCGGUUUCGUAAGUCUGUCGUGAAAUCCCCGGGCUUAACCUGGGAAUGGAGAUGGAGACUGCGAGGCUAGAGUUUGGCAGAGGGGGGUAGAAUUCCACGUGUAGCAGUGAAAUGCGUAGAUAUCAAGUGGGACACCAGUGGCGAAGGCGAGUCUCUGGACAUUUCCUGACGCUGAGGCACGAAAGCCAGGGGAGCAAACGGGA
RNAcentral lists this ribosomal RNA (253 nucleotides) under uncultured prokaryote. RNAcentral describes it as "partial 16S ribosomal RNA". It matches the Rfam family "Bacterial small subunit ribosomal RNA", at positions 525 to 777 of the family's 1533-position model. The record is from RNAcentral.